RNAcentral lists this transfer RNA (73 nucleotides) under Bos taurus (domestic cattle). It matches the Rfam family "tRNA". From Rfam's summary of the family: Transfer RNA (tRNA) molecules are approximately 80 nucleotides in length. RNAcentral also lists the same sequence under 4 other names. Lineage: Eukaryota; Metazoa; Chordata; Mammalia; Artiodactyla; Bovidae. The record is from Rfam by way of RNAcentral.
UUCCUGGCAGUCCAGUGGUUAAGACUUUGUGCUCCAAAUGCAGAGGGCAUGGGUUCGAUUCCUGACUGGGGAG